This 1089-nucleotide long non-coding RNA is filed under the name Capra hircus (goat). RNAcentral's name for it is "lncRNA (ENSCHIG00010006986.1)". The record is from RNAcentral. Lineage: Eukaryota; Metazoa; Chordata; Mammalia; Artiodactyla; Bovidae.
AUAAAAGAUAUUAACACCUAAAUGGACUAAAUUAAAAAUAAUUAAAUCACUUAUAUAACAUAACUGCUUAUAACUCUGUAAUUUUGAAUAUCGGAAAAACACAGAAAACACAUAAACCACAAUAUUUAAAUAAUAAAAUGUUAGAGCUGAAAGGGAAUUAACUUCAUAUCCUAUUCAACUAUCUGAUCUCUUAUGUAGAUCACCUCCUUUUCCUUGAAACCUCUUUUCUGUAAUAUGCUAGCUAUCUUUCUACUUUCCAAGCCACCCCUCCAUCUACGUCAUAAGUGGCUAACCAGAAGUAGCUUUCCCGUUACUUCUUUAAUGUAAUGUUUGACACACACAAAAUAUAUGGAAAGAUGAAUGUAAGCAAGCAUAAAAUAAACAGUUAAUUGUAAAUCUCCACAUCACAUAAGAACACCAAUAACAUAAUCUAAGUGCUUCUGUCCUCCUAACCUUCAUCCUAAUUAUGUCUUAUCCCAUCAUUUUUUAAAAUAUAAGACUGUCACAUAUGUAUAUGUCCUUAAAUNNNNNNNNNUUUAGGUAUGUGUCCUCCCCCAACCCAUCAUCAUUUUUUCAGCUUGAUAAACUGAUAUGUUGAAUGAAAUAUUUGGGGAUGUGAACUUUUUCAUGUAAUAUUUUUCUGUUUUAUCCAUGUUACAUUUUCACUGCCUUAUAUGAUAUUCCAUAAUAUAAAUGUGCCACAAUCUAUUUAUCUACUUGUUCUGUUGACAAACAUUUGUAUGGCUUACUUUUUUGCUUUUAUCAACAUUACUAUUCAAGUCGCCAGGUAUACUUUACAAGAAUGUCUUUGGGAUAUGCAAAGUGGGAAACUGGUGGGUCACAGGGCAUCCAAAUUCUCAAAUCUAUCAAAAAUGCCCAAGUGCCUUCAACUGGAUCACCUUUCCAAUUCACCAGUAGCAUAUGAACACAUUUUCUCCAAUACUAGGUAAAAUCAAAUUUUAUAAUUUGUAGCAGUCAGUCAAGUCAGUUCACUCAGUCAUGUCCAGCUCUUUCUGACCCCAUGAACCACAGCACGCCAUGCCUCCCUGUCCAUCACCAGCUCCCAGAGUCCACCCAAACCCAUGUCCA